RNAcentral lists this ribosomal RNA (1557 nucleotides) under Pachydactylus punctatus. RNAcentral's name for it is "16S rRNA". It matches the Rfam family "Bacterial large subunit ribosomal RNA", at positions 371 to 2854 of the family's 2925-position model. The record is from RNAcentral. Lineage: Eukaryota; Metazoa; Chordata; Lepidosauria; Squamata; Gekkonidae.
CGCCACAGACCAAAGCCUGCAAAGCCAACACCACAAACCCAACUACCCUAACUAAACCAUUCGCCACGCCAAGUAUAAGAGACAGAACAACAUCUAAGCGCACUAGCCAACUAGUACCGUAAGGGAACAAUGAAAGACUCUACUAACCAAAAACAGCAAAAAACAGCAGUGAUCAACCCUCGUACCUCUUGCAUCAUGGUUUAGCCAGCACAAGCAAACAAAAAGCACUUAAAUUUGCAAACCCGAACCCAGACGAGCUACCCACGGGCAGUCACACGGACGCACCCAUCUCUGUAGCAAAAGAGUGGGAAGACCCCCGGGUAGAGGCGAAACACCAACCGCGCCUGGCGAUAGCUGGUUGCUCAACCAAUGAAUCCAAGUUCAACUUUAACAACUGCCCAAAAAUAACUAUUUUUCCAUGCCAAUGUUAAAGUAUAUACAAUUAGGGCACACCUUAAUUGUACCUAUAUACAGCCCCAACUUAGAGGAACUGAUGAAAACCACCACCCAGUAGGCCCUUAAGCAGCCACCAAAACAAACCGCGUCAAAGCACAACCAAACUAAAAUUUCCCCCACAAAACCAACACCCUAAAACACCAACUGAGCCAACCCACUUUCAAAUGGGAGUAAUACUGCUAAAACUAGUAAUAAGGCCACUGCCUCAAUGCACACCCAUAAACCAGUUUAGAUAAACUACUGGAAAUUAACAAUUUUACCUAUACCAAAACUAGACCACAUACCCACCAAACCCCGUUUUCCCAACACAGGCGUGCUACAAAGACAGAUUAAAAGUUAAAGAGGGAACUCGGCUAAUUGAGCCCCACCUGUUUACCAAAAACAUCGCCUUUAGCCCAUAUAAGUAUUAAAGGUCCUGCCUGCCCAGUGAUAACACCCUAUUCAACGGCCGCGGUAUCAUAACCGUGCAAAGGUAGCGUAAUCACUUGUCUCCUAGAUAGAGACCAGUAUGAAUGGCUGAUUGAGGGCCCAACUGUCCCCUUUACCCAAUCAAUGAAACUGAUCUUUCAGUACAAAAGCUGAAAUACCAACACAAGACGAGAAGACCCUGUGGAGCUUCAAACCUACUACUAACCCAAAAGCAACACCAUGCUAUAGUAUAAGUUUUAAGUUGGGGCGACUACGGAGAAAAAAUAACCCUCCACGAAACUAGGGUAACCCCCAAAAUGAGGCCUACAAGCCAAACAACCUAUGCUGACCCAGUAACACUGAAAACCGGACCAAGUUACCCCAGGGAUAACAGCGCCAUCUCCCUUAAGAGUCCAUAUCGCCAGGGAGGCUUACGACCUCGAUGUUGGAUCAGGACACCCAGGUGGUGCAGCCACUACCAAAGGCUCGUUUGUUCAACGAUCAAUGUCCUACGUGAUCUGAGUUAAGACCGGAGCAAUCCAGGUCGGUUUCUAUCUGUGCAUAGCUGCCCCAGUACGAAAGGACCGAGCAGCAGACGUCCAUGACAAGUCAUACGUCUAAAACAGCGCUAAGAGAUUGAAAACAAUCUCAAAUUCGCCGCACCCCAAAAACCACCCCCAGAUACAGGGGGUU